This 486-nucleotide ribosomal RNA is filed under the name uncultured bacterium. RNAcentral describes it as "partial 16S ribosomal RNA". It matches the Rfam family "Bacterial small subunit ribosomal RNA", at positions 30 to 507 of the family's 1533-position model. The record is from RNAcentral.
AUCGAACGCUGGCGGCAUGCCUUACACAUGCAAGUCGAACGGCAGCACGGGUGCUUGCACCUGGUGGCGAGUGGCGAUCGGGUGAGUAAUACAUCGGAACAUGUCCUGUAGUGGGGGAUAGCCCGGCGAAAGCCGGAUUAAUACCGCAUACGAUCUACGGAUGAAAGCGGGGGACCUUCGCGCCUCGCGCUAUAGGGUUGGCCGAUGGCUGAUUAGCUAGUUGGUGGGGUAAAGGCCUACCAAGGCGACGAUCAGUAGCUGGUCUGAGAGGACGACCAGCCACACUGGGACUGAGACACGGCCCAGACUCCUACGGGAGGCAGCAGUGGGGAAUUUUGGACAAUGGGCGAAAGCCUGAUCCAGCAAUGCCGCGUGUGUGAAGAAGGCCUUCGGGUUGUAAAGCACUUUUGUCCGGAAAGAAAUCCUUGGCCCUAAUACGGUCGGGGGAUGACGGUACCGGAAGAAUAAGCACCGGCUAACUACGUG